RNAcentral lists this ribosomal RNA (429 nucleotides) under Chloroflexota bacterium. RNAcentral describes it as "Chloroflexi bacterium partial 16S ribosomal RNA". It matches the Rfam family "Bacterial small subunit ribosomal RNA", at positions 355 to 776 of the family's 1533-position model. The record is from RNAcentral. Lineage: Bacteria; Bacillati; Chloroflexota.
UGGGGAAUAUUGCACAAUGGGCGCAAGCCUGAUGCAGCCAUGCCGCGUGUAUGAAGAAGGCCUUCGGGUUGUAAAGUACUUUCAGUCGGGAGGAAGGUGGUAAGGUUAAUAACCUUAUCAAUUGACGUUACCGACAGAAGAAGCACCGGCUAACUCCGUGCCAGCAGCCGCGGUAAUACGGAGGGUGCAAGCGUUAAUCGGAAUUACUGGGCGUAAAGCGCACGCAGGCGGUUUGUUAAGUCAGAUGUGAAAUCCCCGGGCUCAACCUGGGAACUGCAUCUGAUACUGGCAAGCUUGAGUCUCGUAGAGGGGGGUAGAAUUCCAGGUGUAGCGGUGAAAUGCGUAGAGAUCUGGAGGAAUAACGGUGGCGAAGGCGGCCCCCUGGACGAAGACUGACGCUCAGGUGCGAAAGCGUGGGGAGCAAACAGG